GUCCUCGUAGCUCAACGGAUAGAGCACGCGCGUCCUAAGCGUGUGAUGGGGGUCCGAUUCCCUCCGGGGACA
RNAcentral lists this transfer RNA (72 nucleotides) under bacterium. RNAcentral describes it as "tRNA-Arg". It matches the Rfam family "tRNA". Rfam says of the family: Transfer RNA (tRNA) molecules are approximately 80 nucleotides in length. Their secondary structure includes four short double-helical elements and three loops (D, anti-codon, and T loops). Further hydrogen bonds mediate the characteristic L-shaped molecular structure. tRNAs have two regions of fundamental functional importance: the anti-codon, which is responsible for specific mRNA codon recognition, and the 3' end, to which the tRNAs corresponding amino acid is attached (by aminoacyl-tRNA synthetases). tRNAs cope with the degeneracy of the genetic code in two manners: having more than one tRNA (with a specific anti-codon) for a particular amino acid; and 'wobble' base-pairing, i.e. permitting non-standard base-pairing at the 3rd anti-codon position. The record is from RNAcentral.